This 480-nucleotide ribosomal RNA is filed under the name Faucicola osloensis. Its description in RNAcentral is "bacterial SSU rRNA". The record is from RNAcentral. Lineage: Bacteria; Pseudomonadati; Pseudomonadota; Gammaproteobacteria; Moraxellales; Moraxellaceae.
GAUUGAACGCUGGCGGCAGGCUUAACACAUGCAAGUCGAACGAUGACUCUCUAGCUUGCUAGAGAWGAUUAGUGGCGGACGGGUGAGUAACAUUUAGGAAUCUACCUAGUAGUGGGGGAUAGCUCGGGGAAACUCGAAUUAAUACCGCAUACGACCUACGGGUGAAAGGGGGCGCAAGCUCUUGCUAUUAGAUGAGCCUAAAUCAGAUUAGCUAGUUGGUGGGGUAAAGGCCCACCAAGGCGACGAUCUGUAACUGGUCUGAGAGGAUGAUCAGUCACACCGGAACUGAGACACGGUCCGGACUCCUACGGGAGGCAGCAGUGGGGAAUAUUGGACAAUGGGGGCAACCCUGAUCCAGCCAUGCCGCGUGUGUGAAGAAGGCCUUUUGGUUGUAAAGCACUUUAAGCAGGGAGGAGAGGCUAAUGGUUAAUACCCAUUAGAUUAGACGUUACCUGCAGAAUAAGCACCGGCUAACUCUGU